UUAGCUCAUAUUUGUAUGGAAUGGGAUCGUUUGCGUACGUUUGCCGCUAGGGGCGCUGCUCCAACUGCAUACAAAGUUGGAUUA
RNAcentral lists this microRNA precursor (84 nucleotides) under Bombyx mori (domestic silkworm). RNAcentral describes it as "mir-2807 microRNA precursor family". It matches the Rfam family "mir-2807 microRNA precursor family". Lineage: Eukaryota; Metazoa; Arthropoda; Insecta; Lepidoptera; Bombycidae. The record is from Rfam by way of RNAcentral.